GACGAACGCUGGCGGCGUGCUUAACACAUGCAAGUCGAACGGAAAGGCCCUGCUUUUGUGGGGUGCUCGAGUGGCGAACGGGUGAGUAACACGUGAGUAACCUGCCCUUGACUUGGGGAUAACUUCAGGAAACUGGGGCUAACACCGGAUAGGAGCUCCUGCUGCAUGGUGGGGGUUGGAAAGUUUCGGCGAUUGGGGAUGGACUCGCGGCUUAUCAGCUUGUUGGUGGGGUAGUGGCUUACCAAGGCUUUGACGGGUAGCCGGCCUGAGAGGGUGACCGGCCACAUUGGGACUGAGAUACGGCCCAGACUGCUACGGGAGGCAGCAGUGGGGAAUAUUGCACAAUGGGCGGAAGCCUGAUGCAGCAACGCCGCGUGCGGGAUGACGGCCUUCGGGUUGUAAACCGCUUUCGCCUGUGACGAAGCGUGAGUGACGGUAAUGGGUAAAGAAGCACCGGCUAACUACGUG
This 468-nucleotide ribosomal RNA is filed under the name uncultured bacterium. RNAcentral's name for it is "partial 16S ribosomal RNA". It matches the Rfam family "Bacterial small subunit ribosomal RNA", at positions 28 to 507 of the family's 1533-position model. The record is from RNAcentral.